UUUGAGUGACAAGCUUACCAUAUGUAACACCCCAAUAGAAGACUCAAACCAUAUGGCCUAUACUCGAAAAUGACUAGUCAAUGAUACAAUUAGUGUCCCAUUGGAACCUUAUAAAGAGUAAGAACUUCUCAUUCCCAAGAAAUGUGAGAUUCACCACCUACCAUUAUCUUUAUCAUAUGAGGUAUCACAAUCUUCCCCCCUUAAAUUUCCAGCGUCCUCGUCAAGUUUGUUUGUUGUAGGUGGCAAGGUUCAAGUCCCACAUUUCUGGUUGGGAUAGACUCUGAUACCAUUUGUAACACCUCAAUGGAAGACCUAAACCACAUGACCUAUACUCUAAAAUGACUAGUCAAUGAUACAAUUGGAGCCCCAUUAGA
Juglans microcarpa x Juglans regia is the source of this 374-nucleotide long non-coding RNA. RefSeq lists it as uncharacterized. NCBI's taxonomy places the organism in Eukaryota, Viridiplantae, Streptophyta, Magnoliopsida, Fagales, Juglandaceae. The record is from RefSeq and is a predicted model, not a curated record. The transcript is spliced from 3 exons.